This is a long non-coding RNA of Synchiropus splendidus (mandarinfish), 2639 nucleotides long. RefSeq lists it as uncharacterized. Lineage: Eukaryota; Metazoa; Chordata; Actinopteri; Syngnathiformes; Callionymidae. The transcript has 3 exons. The record is from RefSeq and is a predicted model, not a curated record.
CCCGGAGCUGUCAAACACCAGCUCCGGUCAGUGGAGAAAGCAGACUAAUCCACCAGACAAACAACUCGGAAAGAUUAACAUUCAUUAGCCUUAACCCUUCGACUGCUUGACGUCUCCACUUCCCGAGGACUCGAAUGGUUAUCUUUUUCAUGACACUCCGUUUUUCUCAGUCACAUGGCUGCUGGAGAAUUCAAUAACAACCAAAAAUGGCGACAAUCACGUUGCGCUGUGUGCUCUUGCUGCGUCAUGACAAAUAUCGUUGUAAACACGGAAGGAAUGUCAGAGGCGAGGUAAAUGGAGUUGUUUACAUGAAGUGCAGAGGGCGGGCCGAGGAGGAGGAGCCGUGACGUCAGCACUCCGGAGAGGAAUCAUAACAAGUGUGACGUCACUCAGUCUGGUGAUCCCUGGGGGAAAGACGAGUGACGCGAGCGCCUUCUAGAUGUGGCAGGCUGCCCUGGUUCAGUUAUCACGGUGCUGAUGCUGUCCACAUCGAAGGUACAGUACUGUGAUAACUGAAGGAUGGCUGCCAUCUUGACACUGGUGGAACGGAUGCAUGGAGUCGACAGCGGUUACCUUUACCAACGGUUAACGGUAACAUCUAAUUAAUAAACGGAUUAUCUGACAGUUUGAAAGUUGAUUUCUUUUAUUGUUUCUUCUUCUUCUUUUUUGCUUGUUUGGCUUUGUUUAAAUAUUUAUCUGUAAAUCUUUAAUGGCCAUUUUAUUAUAAUCAACUAAGUUUAGUUUCCUUCAAUUGUUAGUAAUGAAAUAUCUUUAAUCAUGAUGAUUCAGGAAUUAACAGCCAAAACAUGUCAGUUAACUUUAACUAACCCUGAGACAAAUGUGUCAUUUCUUGAAUACGUUUUAUGCAAUUUUGUUGCAUAAUGUUUAAAGGACUUCCUUCUCCCUCAAUGGCCAUGAGCUUUGGGUAGUUGGCAAAAAGAAGAAACAAGCAACAACUUUACUUUACAGAUCUCAGUAGCAUGUAGUAGCAGAGUCCUGAGGGAGAGACUCAGAAUGGAUGUUGUGCUCCCCCACAUUGAAAGACGCCCGCUAAGGUAUUGACUCUACCAAUGUCCACCCGACUGCAGUCAGGCUUUAAGAAUCGCAUAUUCAGUUAUGAUCAGGAAUUACAACAAAAUACAAUGCAUGAAUACAAAGCUGUGUGAGGUACGAGCCAUAAGGUGGACGUUGUGUGUCCCAAGAGUAUCAUUCACUUUAAAAUGUGCUUUAAAAAAAACUACGCGUUAAUAAUGAUCAAAAUAUUCACGUGAAACAGAAAACUCCACCCAAAUGUUUGACGCAAUAGAGUCAGCAGAUGGCGCUAAAUUUCUGCGUUAGUCUUAGUACAUAAAUAAUGUUUAAAGUCACAUUAUGUAAUGCACAACGCGUUUUAAUACGAGCAAGGUUCACAUAUAGGGUCAUCAAAAUAAAAAUCUACGUAUUUGUCUUGAAAUUUUAUUUUACUUUGUCAUCUCUAUGGACGCAUGUUCAUGCAAUGACAUGACAGAAAGUGCAUUUGUUGACUCGUACAUCUUCUUAUCCCAGCUGCAUGGGUUAACAUUGAGGACACAGGGCACCAGGGUGAAGUUCGCUAUAUGAGCAUUAUUAACAACUGUAUUAAACUUGAUGUUAGACAAAUGUUUUUGAUUGAUUCAUCCUCCCCUUAUAGUCCUUACCUGCUGCACCCAUUUACCUUUCGUUCCACAUCCUUUGGUCCAUCCCUAUUCCUCACUUCAUCCACCCUACGUCUUGCCCUCUUUCCUGUCUCAAUCAUCGUCUGUAUUUAGAUUAGAUUUCAUUUAUUCAUUCCCUUACCACCUCAUAAUCUUCCUUUCAACAUCCUGUCCAUAUUUACCUCUCUCUUGUCCCUUUUCAUCUUUGCCUACACUUGUUCCAUUUACUUCAUCCAGGUCUACUUAAUUGUAUAGGACCACAGAUGUGGUGAGAACUGCAGCCUGGAGUCAUAUCAUAUCUAUAUUUUUUGGUGGUCUGCCAGACUUUUUUCUCCUGCACCCUGGUAACUUUCGUAUUCCAAAAGUAUGAAGAGGUUCAAUGUUUCUACUCAAUUUUCCACAGGUUUGUGUGUGUGGUGGUCUGUCUUUAAGUGCCCUAAUGUGGACUGGCAAACAAUACAGGGGUUCCCCCAACUCAGCUUCACUUUGUUAGGACAGACUCUGGUCUGCCGCAAACAAAUGAUGGAUAUAAUAUGAACUAUAACUUGUAAAAAUAAAAUAUUUGAAAACUAAGCCUUGAUUCUCAACACUGAAACCGGUGAGAAUGUCUUGAUAGGGCAAGAGCUAAUGGCUCUGUAAGGAGAAGUUGGAAUAUUUUCUUCCAUGUCAUCAUGUUUUAUCUGAAAGUGGUGGUUUCUGGGUGGGGCUUUGUGUUCUUCCUGUGCUUCUGUGGCUCUUGUCCGCUGAGUUUCUUACAACAGCCGAUAGCGAUUCAAUUUAUUUGUUUACAUUGUGUGCAUUAAUGGGUUGUGUGAUGGAGCAUUUGUAAUUUGUGUCCAAAUCAGUCGCCUUCCCCAACUUUCAAAAGGAUCUCUCAACUCGACCGACUCUUGCCUCAGCUCCUGUAUCUGUCAGUUGGGAGAACCUCUAAUGUAAAUAAGGAAAUAGAUAAAUAAAUGGGCUCAU